GACGAACGCUGGCGGCGUGCUUAACACAUGCAAGUCGAACGGAGUGGCGAACGGGUGAGUAACACGUGGGUGACCUGCCCUGCACUUCGGGAUAAGCCUGGGGAACUGGGGCUAAUACCGGGUAGGGUGGGGUGGGCCCGCGGCCUAUCAGGUUGUUGGGGGGGGAAGGGCCUACCAAGGGGGGGACGGGGAGCCGGCCUGGGAGGGUGGACGGCCACAUGGGGACUGAGACACGGCCCAGACUCCUACGGGAGGCAGCAGUGGGGAAUAUUGCACAAUGGGCGGAAGCCUGAUGCAGCGACGCCGCGUGGGGGAUGACGGCCUUCGGGUUGUAAACUCCUUUCACCAUCGACGCGGUAGAUGGAGAAGAAGCACCGGCUAACUACGUGCCAGCAGCCGCGGUAAUC
RNAcentral lists this ribosomal RNA (407 nucleotides) under uncultured bacterium. Its description in RNAcentral is "partial 16S ribosomal RNA". It matches the Rfam family "Bacterial small subunit ribosomal RNA", at positions 28 to 525 of the family's 1533-position model. The record is from RNAcentral.